UACGUAGGUGGCAAGCGUUUGUCCGGAUUUAUUGGGCGUAAAGCGCGCGCAGGCGGUCUUUUAAGUCUGAUGUGAAAUCUCGCGGCUCAACCGCGAGCGGUCAUUGGAAACUGGGAGACUUGAGUACAGAAGAGGAGAGUGGAAUUCCACGUGUAGCGGUGAAAUGCGUAGAUAUGUGGAGGAACACCAGUGGCGAAGGCGACUCUCUGGUCUGUAACUGACGCUGAGGCGCGAAAGCGUGGGGAGCAAACAGG
This 254-nucleotide ribosomal RNA is filed under the name uncultured bacterium. RNAcentral's name for it is "partial 16S ribosomal RNA". It matches the Rfam family "Bacterial small subunit ribosomal RNA", at positions 524 to 776 of the family's 1533-position model. The record is from RNAcentral.